Long non-coding RNA from Triticum aestivum (bread wheat), 327 nucleotides. RefSeq lists it as uncharacterized. The record is from RefSeq and is a predicted model, not a curated record. NCBI's taxonomy places the organism in Eukaryota, Viridiplantae, Streptophyta, Magnoliopsida, Poales, Poaceae. The transcript is spliced from 2 exons.
GAAUUUUUGGCCCAUGUGCUUCCAGGCCCACUCAGGUCUAUCCCAAAACUGUGGCUAGGGUUAGCAAGAACGCAGGGGCGGCGGCUAAGCACGUGAAAUUAUAAGGGAUGACGGGACCGGCCAGCUCUUGUCCUCCUUCAAUCCCGAUUUUCGGCCGACGGGUUCUACCGUGAUGUUCGUUUCGGCGCUAUCGUCCAGGGCACGGCCAAUUCAUGUUGACCGGAAACAACGAUAUGAAGCCGCCGAUUCCUAAACGACCCCGGCGGAUGGCUAUGUCGCCGGAAUCAGCACCUUUAGCCUCCGGCAGUAGCAGCUUCAUCCCAGAUG